AUGGACAUCUACUUGUGUAUUUAUGUGAUUUUUCAUAGCCAUGUGAGGCACAGUGAAACAGAUGCUCAUGGCAACUUCUGCUCCAGAAGCUUCCCAGAUAUGACUGACCUCAGACACAGGAAUUCAGAAAUCUCACUGCCUGCCCCUUUGCCAUUAAGAAAACAGAUACUGGAUCCCCAAACCCAUGAUGAAGAAAGAGGCUGGAAGAACUCUCAGAAGAGUUUUCAAGACUAUGAGUGCCCUUGCCAAAACCCGGUGGAAAAAUCCCUAGAGAAACAGAGGCCAUAGAAGUUUAAAGGACCUUCUAUUUUUGUUGCAUUUUAAAAAAUAGCUUAGAGGAGUGUGGUUUUUAAUAGUAAAGCUUCAAACACCCCAGCACUGGGCAUGGCUUGGAGUUGAAGUAGCAAGGAUGGGUAUGUGUCCCCCAUGAAGCUUCACAUGGCAAAGUGGAUGAGCAAAGCGACCAUCAAACAGAAGAGACCGGUGGCCUCAGUCAGAGCAAACCCCAGGAUGGCACAGGAAAAGAGCUCCUGCUUUGGAGAUGGGUCCUGGCAUAGCCAAUCAUCCAGCAACCAAACGCUCUUCCAAUGCUGUACCCUGAACCAGUCACACCAACUGUGGUGGCCUUAGCACCAAUAAGCUUGCCACUGUGUUAGUGCCCCAGGAGACAAUGUGGGUCUGGAAUUCCCGUCUGGCCACCUGGAGUAGGAAGCUGCUGAAGGAAGGCUUUUGAGAUGUCUUUGCCUACUCAAGAAGGAGGCAGAUAGAGGCCUGAUUAGACCUCUGGUAAAACAGUGAAUCAGAGCUGGAGAAAUGAGUAGCAUCUCAGUGUUUGCAUCGGUUCAACAUGCAUUCCCACUGCCCUGCUGCCCUGUGCGGCCCCCAGGGCUCACCACUCUCCCAUUAGUCUUUCUUAGCCCAUGUGUCAGUAUGCAGCUGUUUAAAAUGGUAAAUAUUUCUAACCUAUUUAAAUAUUUAGUUGGCUUAGUAUCUGCUCCUUGUUUUUCACUUUUAGAGCUUUAUUGGCCUCUCAUCUAACUUUUCAUGUAAACUUUAAAAUCAUCUUGUCUAGUCACAUUCUCCCCACAAAAAAAGGUGGUAUUUUUAUUAGUAUGUCAUUAAAUUUAGAAAUUAACUUUUGGAGAAUCCAUAUCCUUACAAUGCAAGGGUGUCCUGUCCAAGAACACAGUGUGUCUUUCUAUUUGCUUAAAUCUACUUUGGGAUCUUUCAGAGCUUUAAAAUAUUGACUCAUAGAGGUAUUAUUCAGUCUUGUUAGGUUUAUUUCUAAGCAUUUUUCUUUUUCUGUUGCAUUUGUGAAUGAGGGAUAGUGUCAUUUUGGGUUUUCCAAGCAUACAGUCAUAUAUCUACAAAUAGCUAUUAUAUUAGAUUCUUUGUAUGUUGAAAACCAAAUUAUUUUUAAAAUUGUAUACUUGUAAAUUCUUUCUCUUCUCAGUAUUGAUUAGUACCUCUAGUACAAUAUUAAAUAAUGAGUUAAGGAAAUCUUUGUCUUGUUUCCAACCUGUAGUAGAUUAUACACAAAUGAGCUGGUUAAAUAGUCUUUAAGAAUACCUUUGUGUCUGAUGCUAGAGUUUGAAGCCCACAAAGCAGGCAGUUAGGAAGGGAAGAUGGAUGUAAGGAAGAGAGUGAGGAUAAGCUAGAACUAACACUCACGAGGAUGGAUUACAACACAUGCCAAUUCUCAGGAGGUGCUGGAAGCCUUCACCUCACAGUUAAACAGAUAACUGCCCCAGGAGUCAGAGAAGCUGAAGGUCAAUCCAGGGGAAGGUGAAGUAGUUGCAGUAUUGGCUACUGUUCCAUGCCAGUGCAAUCAGCUAGCAUACCAGUACAACAUGUAUGAACUACAGAAUGGCUGCUGCUCCAUUUCUGCCCUCCAAAUCUUACACAAGAAUCUGUCUGUGACCCACCUUAACUGGAAACCUACACGGAAGGGAAUUUUGGGAAAUCAGUUGGUUUGGACAAAGCUAGUAUCACAUUAUAAAGUGACUAUACUAAUUUAAUGGGCCUGUUCUAACAUUUUGUUUCAUUAAGAAUGCUACUUCCUACAUCAUACUUUUUAAAAAACAGAUAAGAAUUGUUCUUUUUUUGUUCAAAUGUAUAUUUAGCAUUUAUUGACAUAAUAAUAAGCUAUUUAUCUUUGAUCUUUUAAUGUGG
This 2172-nucleotide long non-coding RNA is filed under the name Macaca mulatta (Rhesus monkey). RNAcentral describes it as "lncRNA (ENSMMUG00000060903.1)". Lineage: Eukaryota; Metazoa; Chordata; Mammalia; Primates; Cercopithecidae. The record is from RNAcentral.